RNAcentral lists this ribosomal RNA (468 nucleotides) under uncultured bacterium. RNAcentral's name for it is "partial 16S ribosomal RNA". It matches the Rfam family "Bacterial small subunit ribosomal RNA", at positions 28 to 507 of the family's 1533-position model. The record is from RNAcentral.
GACGAACGCUGGCGGCGUGCUUAACACAUGCAAGUCGAACGGAAAGGCCCUGCUUUUGUGGGGUGCUCGAGUGGCGAACGGGUGAGUAACACGUGAGUAACCUGCCCUUGACUUUGGGAUAACUUCAGGAAACUGGGGCUAAUACCGGAUAGGAGCUCCUGCUACAUGGUGGGGGUUGGAAAGUUUCGGCGGUUGGGGAUGGACUCGCGGCUUAUCAGCUUGUUGGUGGGGUAGUGGCUUACCAAGGCUUUGACGGGUCGCCGGCCUGAGAGGGUGACCGGCCACAUUGGGACUGAGAGACGGCCCAGACUCCUACGGGAGGCAGCAGUGGGGAAUAUUGCACAAUGGGCGGAAGCCUGAUGCAGCAACGCCGCGUGCGGGAUGACGGCCUUCGGGUUGUAAACCGCUUUCGCCUGUGACGAAGCGUGAGUGACGGUAAUGGGUAAAGAAGCACCGGCUAACUACGUG